This 338-nucleotide ribosomal RNA is filed under the name uncultured archaeon. RNAcentral's name for it is "partial 16S ribosomal RNA". It matches the Rfam family "Archaeal small subunit ribosomal RNA", at positions 133 to 475 of the family's 1478-position model. The record is from RNAcentral.
CGGGAAACUGGGGAUAAUACCCUAUAGACUAUGGAUGCUGGAAUGCUUCGUAGUUGAAAGGUCCGCCGCUGUAGGAUGGGUCUGCGGCCGAUUAGGUUGUUGUUGGGGUAACGGCCCAACAAGCCUGUAAUCGGUACGGGUUGUGGGAGCAAGAGCCCGGAGAUGGAUUCUGAGACACGAAUCCAGGCCCUACGGGGCGCAGCAGGGCCGAAAACUUUACAAUGGCGGGAACCGUGGAUAAGGGAACUCUGAGUGCCCGUAAAAUCGGGCUGUCCAUCAGUUUAAAUAACUGGUGAAGAAAGGGCCGGGCAAGACCGGUGCCAGCCGCCACGGUAACA